Long non-coding RNA from Lolium rigidum, 2584 nucleotides. RefSeq lists it as uncharacterized. The transcript is spliced from 6 exons. Lineage: Eukaryota; Viridiplantae; Streptophyta; Magnoliopsida; Poales; Poaceae. The record is from RefSeq and is a predicted model, not a curated record.
AUUAUGGCCGGAUCAGUUCCAGGUGUUUCAAUCCGACCAAGAAUGGCAGUCUGCUCCAGAGAGGGAGAUGCCUGAAGCUUGUCAAGGACAAAAUAAUAUCUUUCCGAUUCAGUUGCCAGUCGCUGACCAGGUGAGUGGUACGAUAGGCAUUGUUUAUGCAAUGUAGAUUGCUCUGGUUUUGCCUAAAACGAAAGAGACAAAUUGAUAGCAGCAGCGGCCAUCAAGAAUAGGUGUGCUUACAUUUCUUGUCAUCUAUGUCUACAUUUCUUGUUUUACAGAAAUCAUUACGUUUUAUGGCUGUUGCUACAUUACAGAAAUCAUUACGUUUUACAUAAAUUAUUUUGUGAUAUGUGUAGUAUAAGUUGACCUGCCGUUUCAGAAUGUACAUUACAAAUAUCAGUUUGUGAUAUGUGUAGUAUAAGUUGACCUACCGUUUCAGAAUGAUUAGCACAUAAUCCAGAAAAUUGUGGUGUCUGUUGGGUUUUACUGGACGAACAAUAUUUUUUUCAGUGGACCUGAUGAUAGCUCACACCUAACACAUAUAGAUGCAGCUCAGAUUAGUCAGUAACCAUUCAGAGAAUGGUUGUUAGUUUCAGCCUACGUAGAUAAAUGGUUACUUGCAUUAGCGGCAAGAACUUUCCCCAAAACAUCCUUUAACAUAUUUUCUUUAAUAAUCUACCUUUUUGGAAUAUCCUGCAAUCCUACUAUCUCUAGAAAUAUCAAACAGUUUAAUAAAAAUAUAUAUACAACUGAAAUAGAAAUCAGUAUGUGAUUGGUUGGCUUGUGGUUUCUAUUAUAGUCGUACGACUAAAUUUUCUAAAUAAAAGUUCAUUGGAUUGGUUGAUGGUACAUGUUGAAAAUUCUAUCGAAGUAUGGUUGAUGUUCAUUAGAUCCAGCUAAUCUUUUGAUUUUUCCUAUAAGUUUUUAAAUCUUCCGUAUAUAGAUAUAUAUUUUUUGUUGCAUGUACGUUGAACUUCUGGUUGAUGGGAACUGUUCAAACGAGGGUAGGAAAUUUAAUGUGACGUAUGUGUAUUUUCUGUGGUGGUUGCUGAUAAUAUUUGCUGCUAAUGGCAUGCUGCUAAUUAAUUGUACAAUGGCGAGGCUCCAACUAUGGUAUGGCCCAUUGGAUCUUAACAAAUGUCAUUGCUAGAAUAUCUUUUGUUAUAUUGACUAAUGUACUUGUAUUUUUAUUUGCAGUUCUCAAAGGAUAUAAGAAAGUUAGGAGAUGCAAUCACAGGGUGAUGAUAACUGUUCAUCAUCAAUCCUAUUCAGUUCUUUUUGCUGCUGCAUUUCAUAAAAGUAUCCUGUUAGUUAAUUAGUUGUAACUCUUCAUGAUUUAGAACCUAAUUAGAACUUGCCCCAACUAUAAGAUGCAAGAAUCAGAACUAAAUGAAAAAUGAAAAGAGGUAUUUAAGUGUAUUUAAUUAUUAUAUAUGUGUAAGUGUAUUUAACGUUUUGUUUCUCUUUUCUCGGCAUCUCUCUGGUUGCUAUUUCUUCAGUGCUUGGGGUUGCAGGAAGAAGAUGUUUCAGAGUUGGAGCAUAGGGUUCAGUAGUGGUGCUGGUUCUCGAAGUCCCAAGGUUGCACUCUCACUUAUUAUCUACCAUGCCUCUCUAAACCGCGUCGUUCUGCUUGAAUCCCUUCAGUGGUUCACACUGCCUCUCUGCUUGUUUGUUCCAACGAUUUACCUCUUCCUGGGGUUCUGAUGGAAUGAUGGUUGUAGUGGGUUGCUGUAGCGGUAAGACAUAGCUGAUCGAGUGGUGGAUGGUCCUGACCACAACUUGCCUGGAGGUUGUGCCCUGCAAGGCUGCAACACCUCGGUUUGGCUACUGAAGGUAUGAUGCGCCAUCCUGAUCUCACUUAAGGUCAGCUUUUUGCUGCAUUCUGAUGAUACUCUACCCUCUCUCUCUCUCUCUCUCUCUCGGAGUAGACUAUAUGAUGCUCCAUCCUCAUCUCACUUAUUUGUCUAAUGUUAUAUGGUGGAUUCAUCUAUCGUGUUGAAUAGUCAGGCCUAAUAUUGGAUGAACUGGAUGACGCGGUGUCGGCCAGGAGCAGGUGUUGGAGCGCGUCCGCGAGGUGGGCGGCGACAUGGGGGAUGACCCAUGAGCGCGACGGAGGAGGAAGAGACGACGUCGGUGGCAGGCGAGAGGAGGCACUGCAAGAGCGCGUCCCGUGGAGGAUGGCGACAGCCAGUCUUUGCACAAGAGUUCGGAUGUCCAGGCGGGUACGCAUGGAACCAUUGUAUUGGUCUGUUGGCCAUCUUUCUCAAUGGUUUUCAAAACAGCUGGAAUUAAAAAAAGGGUGUGCUGUCCAUGGAAAGGCUUUCCGCUGGCGUUUCCUUUAGUCUGAGUGGAUGUUUUAUUCUGCAUAUGAAAUGUACGGGCGAGAAAGACUUGGAACAUUGCAUUUUCUUCGGAUCAAAUGGCCUCAGACGGAAAUGUUCCAAAGGAAACCGUACGCAUAAAUUUUCUUCAGAGUUCCCAGUGGACUUGGCCUUCACUUGUAACUAACCUUCUAUAUUUUCGUUGCUCGCACUUGGAUGGAUACUAUCUGACAUGAAUUGUGUAACUUGAGGAACUUUCUCCA